RNAcentral lists this ribosomal RNA (2932 nucleotides) under Salmonella enterica subsp. enterica serovar Enteritidis str. EC20111174. Its description in RNAcentral is "bacterial LSU rRNA". It matches the Rfam family "Bacterial large subunit ribosomal RNA". Lineage: Bacteria; Pseudomonadati; Pseudomonadota; Gammaproteobacteria; Enterobacterales; Enterobacteriaceae. The record is from RNAcentral.
GGGUUGUGAGGUUAAGCGACUAAGCGUACACGGUGGAUGCCCUGGCAGUCAGAGGCGAUGAAGGGCGUGCUAAUCUGCGAUAAGCGCCGGUAAGGUGAUAUGAACCGUUAUAACCGGCGAUACCCGAAUGGGGAAACCCAGUGUGACUCGUCACACUAUCAUUAACUGAAUCCAUAGGUUAAUGAGGCGAACCGGGGGAACUGAAACAUCUAAGUACCCCGAGGAAAAGAAAUCAACCGAGAUUCCCCCAGUAGCGGCGAGCGAACGGGGAGGAGCCCAGAGCCUGAAUCAGCAUGUGUGUUAGUGGAAGCGUCUGGAAAGGCGCGCGAUACAGGGUGACAGCCCCGUACACAAAAGCGCAUGUGCUGUGAGCUCGAUGAGUAGGGCGGGACACGUGGUAUCCUGUCUGAAUAUGGGGGGACCAUCCUCCAAGGCUAAAUACUCCUGACUGACCGAUAGUGAACCAGUACCGUGAGGGAAAGGCGAAAAGAACCCCGGCGAGGGGAGUGAAAAAGAACCUGAAACCGUGUACGUACAAGCAGUGGGAGCACCCUUUGGGUGUGACUGCGUACCUUUUGUAUAAUGGGUCAGCGACUUAUAUUCUGUAGCAAGGUUAACCGAAUAGGGGAGCCGGAGGGAAACCGAGUCUUAAUUGGGCGUUAAGUUGCAGGGUAUAGACCCGAAACCCGGUGAUCUAGCCAUGGGCAGGUUGAAGGUUGGGUAACACUAACUGGAGGACCGAACCGACUAAUGUUGAAAAAUUAGCGGAUGACCUGUGGCUGGGGGUGAAAGGCCAAUCAAACCGGGAGAUAGCUGGUUCUCCCCGAAAGCUAUUUAGGUAGCGCCUCGUGAAUUCAUCUCCGGGGGUAGAGCACUGUUUCGGCUAGGGGGCCAUCCCGGCUUACCAACCCGAUGCAAACUGCGAAUACCGGAGAAUGUUAUCACGGGAGACACACGGCGGGUGCUAACGUCCGUCGUGAAGAGGGAAACAACCCAGACCGCCAGCUAAGGUCCCAAAGUCAUGGUUAAGUGGGAAACGAUGUGGGAAGGCCCAGACAGCCAGGAUGUUGGCUUAGAAGCAGCCAUCAUUUAAAGAAAGCGUAAUAGCUCACUGGUCGAGUCGGCCUGCGCGGAAGAUGUAACGGGGCUAAACCAUGCACCGAAGCUGCGGCAGCGACACUGUGUGUUGUUGGGUAGGGGAGCGUUCUGUAAGCCUGCGAAGGUGGCCUGUGAGGGUUGCUGGAGGUAUCAGAAGUGCGAAUGCUGACAUAAGUAACGAUAAAGCGGGUGAAAAGCCCGCUCGCCGGAAGACCAAGGGUUCCUGUCCAACGUUAAUCGGGGCAGGGUGAGUCGACCCCUAAGGCGAGGCCGAAAGGCGUAGUCGAUGGGAAACGGGUUAAUAUUCCCGUACUUGGUGUUACUGCGAAGGGGGGACGGAGAAGGCUAUGUUGGCCGGGCGACGGUUGUCCCGGUUUAAGCGUGUAGGUGUGUGUUCCAGGUAAAUCCGGUUCACUUUAACACUGAGGCGUGACGACGAGGCACUACGGUGCUGAAGCAACAAAUGCCCUGCUUCCAGGAAAAGCCUCUAAGCAUCAGGUAACAUCAAAUCGUACCCCAAACCGACACAGGUGGUCAGGUAGAGAAUACCAAGGCGCUUGAGAGAACUCGGGUGAAGGAACUAGGCAAUAGGCAAAAUGGUGCCGUAACUUCGGGAGAAGGCACGCUGACACGUAGGUGAAGUGAUUUACUCAUGGAGCUGAAGUCAGUCGAAGAUACCAGCUGGCUGCAACUGUUUAUUAAAAACACAGCACUGUGCAAACACGAAAGUGGACGUAUACGGUGUGACGCCUGCCCGGUGCCGGAAGGUUAAUUGAUGGGGUCAGCGCAAGCGAAGCUCCUGAUCGAAGCCCCGGUAAACGGCGGCCGUAACUAUAACGGUCCUAAGGUAGCGAAAUUCCUUGUCGGGUAAGUUCCGACCUGCACGAAUGGCGUAAUGAUGGCCAGGCUGUCUCCACCCGAGACUCAGUGAAAUUGAACUCGCUGUGAAGAUGCAGUGUACCCGCGGCAAGACGGAAAGACCCCGUGAACCUUUACUAUAGCUUGACACUGAACAUUGAGCCUUGAUGUGUAGGAUAGGUGGGAGGCUUUGAAGUGUGGACGCCAGUCUGCAUGGAGCCGACCUUGAAAUACCACCCUUUAAUGUUUGAUGUUCUAACGUGGACCCGUUACCCGGGUUGCGGACAGUGUCUGGUGGGUAGUUUGACUGGGGCGGUCUCCUCCUAAAGAGUAACGGAGGAGCACGAAGGUUGGCUAAUCCUGGUCGGACAUCAGGAGGUUAGUGCAAUGGCAUAAGCCAGCUUGACUGCGAGCGUGACGGCGCGAGCAGGUGCGAAAGCAGGUCAUAGUGAUCCGGUGGUUCUGAAUGGAAGGGCCAUCGCUCAACGGAUAAAAGGUACUCCGGGGAUAACAGGCUGAUACCGCCCAAGAGUUCAUAUCGACGGCGGUGUUUGGCACCUCGAUGUCGGCUCAUCACAUCCUGGGGCUGAAGUAGGUCCCAAGGGUAUGGCUGUUCGCCAUUUAAAGUGGUACGCGAGCUGGGUUUAGAACGUCGUGAGACAGUUCGGUCCCUAUCUGCCGUGGGCGCUGGAGAACUGAGGGGGGCUGCUCCUAGUACGAGAGGACCGGAGUGGACGCAUCACUGGUGUUCGGGUUGUCAUGCCAAUGGCACUGCCCGGUAGCUAAAUGCGGAAGAGAUAAGUGCUGAAAGCAUCUAAGCACGAAACUUGCCCCGAGAUGAGUUCUCCCUGAGACUUAGAGUCUCCUGAAGGAACGUUGAAGACGACGACGUUGAUAGGCCGGGUGUGUAAGCGCAGCGAUGCGUUGAGCUAACCGGUACUAAUGAACCGUGAGGCUUAACCUUACAACGCCGAAG